AGCUGCCUCCAUGGCCCUGUGGCAGUCCUUCCUCCACUGUCAUCUCGCCAUCAUGUGCCCAUUAGUCUUCCUGGCGACAGGGACUGCUUCCACCUCCCCGGGCUGCCGCUGCGAGGGAAACCAAUCAAAACCUCCAUGGACGGUUCUGAUCAAUGACUCCAGGGCUACACUCUUACCUCCAUCGUCGUAUCUAUCGGCUUAACCUUUUAGAUUAAUCGAGCUGACAUCUUGCCUGUGUUCUCAUCUCUCAGAAACAUUCCAGUGUCCUUCAUCUUUGUUAGGAGUCGAUGCAGUGCAGGCGAGCAAUUGAAAUCUUUCCUCAGAACUCCCUCGGUUCCAGGUAAGUAGUAUUGCUUUACCUGGGAUUCCAGAGUAGUAGUUAAUGGAGAAACUAAUACUCCCUGUAAUGGAUUUCUUGCGUUGCACUUAAUCUCUCAUGUACUUUUUGCCGCAUCUUUAAGGGUACAAGCACAUAUGGUUGAUAAGAAAGGGAC
This 494-nucleotide long non-coding RNA is filed under the name Musa acuminata (dwarf banana). RNAcentral's name for it is "long non-coding RNA (MACU_LNC001717)". Lineage: Eukaryota; Viridiplantae; Streptophyta; Magnoliopsida; Zingiberales; Musaceae. The record is from RNAcentral.